CAUGCAGAGCCCCUCCACCACUUCCCACGCCAACAGCACCCAACCCCCCUCAAACAACAACUCCGCCUUCCUCUCCCCCUUCCCCUUCCCCUUCCCCUUCCCCGCCGACGACGUCGUCCCCACCUUUGUCAGCCACCGCCAUCACCGCCACUACAAUGAGACAGCCGGCGCCUCCUGCCGCCUCCCGCCGCCUCGCCCUCUCCUGCUACUCCUCCUCCCG
Molecule: long non-coding RNA, 220 nt
Filed under: Ananas comosus (pineapple)
Lineage: Eukaryota; Viridiplantae; Streptophyta; Magnoliopsida; Poales; Bromeliaceae
Description: long non-coding RNA (ACOM_LNC037630)
Source: RNAcentral